This 468-nucleotide ribosomal RNA is filed under the name uncultured bacterium. RNAcentral's name for it is "partial 16S ribosomal RNA". It matches the Rfam family "Bacterial small subunit ribosomal RNA", at positions 28 to 507 of the family's 1533-position model. The record is from RNAcentral.
GACGAACGCUGGCGGCGUGCUUAACACAUGCAAGUCGAACGGAAAGGCCCUGCUUUUGUGGGGUGCUCGAGUGGCGAACGGGUGGGUAACACGUGAGUAACCUGCCCUUGACUUUGGGAUAACUUCAGGAAACUGGGGCUAAUACCGGAUAGGAGCUCCUGCUGCAUGGUGGGGGUUGGAAAGUUUCGGCGGUUGGGGAUGGACUCGCGGCUUAUCAGCUUGUUGGUGGGGUAGUGGCUUACCAAGGCUUUGACGGGUAGCCGGCCUGAGAGGGUGACCGGCCACAUUGGGACUGAGAUACGGCCCAGACUCCUACGGGAGGCAGCAGUGGGGAAUAUUGCACAAUGGGCGGAAGCCUGGUGCAGCAACGCCGCGUGCGGGAUGACGGCCUUCGGGUUGUAAACCGCUUUCGCCUGUGACGAAGCGUGAGUGACGGUAAUGGGUAAAGAAGCACCGGCUAACUACGUG